ACGGGUGAGUAACACGUGGGCAUCUACCUUGAAGUGGGGAAUAACGAGCCGAAAGGUUCGCUAAUACCGCAUGAGAUCGAGAGAUGAAAGGGCGAUUCGAAAGAAUCGGUCGCUUUAAGCGGAGCCUGCGGUCGAUCAGGUAGUUGGUGAGGUAACGGCUCACCAAGCCUCUGACCGAUAGCUGAUCUGAGAGGAUGACCAGCCACACUGGCACUGAGAGACGGGCCAGACUCCUACGGGAGGCAGCAGCGAGGAAUAUUGCACAAUGGAGGCAACUCUGAUGCAGUAACGCCGCGUGGGGGAAGAAGACCUUCGGGUUGUAAACCUCUUUUUGUAUCGACGAGUGAGGACGGUAGAUGCAGAAUCAGUCUCGGCUAACUACGUGCCAGCAGCCGCGGUAAGACGUAGGAGGCGAGCGUUAUCCGGAUUCACUGGGCGUAAAGCGCAUGUAGGCGGUUGGACAAGUCGUGUGUUAAAGCCCCUGGCUCAACUGGGGGAGGUCAUGCGAGACUGUACGACUUGAGGGCAAGAGAGGCACGUGGAACUCCCGGUGUAGCGGUGGAAUGCGUAGA
Molecule: ribosomal RNA, 572 nt
Filed under: uncultured bacterium
Lineage: Bacteria
Description: bacterial SSU rRNA
Rfam family: Bacterial small subunit ribosomal RNA
Source: RNAcentral